This 202-nucleotide long non-coding RNA is filed under the name Mytilus galloprovincialis (Mediterranean mussel). The record is from RNAcentral. Lineage: Eukaryota; Metazoa; Mollusca; Bivalvia; Mytilida; Mytilidae.
UCCCUUUGGACACUGCCUGUGUCCGCGUUUGGUUAGUGAUUUAACCCAAUUAUACUGUCCAAAUUUCAAAUCACCGAGAUAAGGCUCGACAUGUUGGCAUAUGCACUCUCGUUGCUGCCAAGUGGAAUGUCUGUUGAAAAUUGAUUUUGGUAGAUUUUCCCAUUGAACGAUGUCUUUAGAGUAGUGUUUAAUGGUGAACUCA